This 353-nucleotide ribosomal RNA is filed under the name uncultured Desulfovibrio sp. RNAcentral describes it as "bacterial SSU rRNA". It matches the Rfam family "Bacterial small subunit ribosomal RNA", at positions 1027 to 1382 of the family's 1533-position model. Lineage: Bacteria; Pseudomonadati; Thermodesulfobacteriota; Desulfovibrionia; Desulfovibrionales; Desulfovibrionaceae. The record is from RNAcentral.
AGCCUAUACAGGUGUUGCAUGGCUGUCGUCAGCUCGUGUCGUGAGAUGUUGGGUUAAGUCCCGCAACGAGCGCAACCCUCGCCUUUAGCUGCCAGCAUUCAGUUGGGCACUCUAAAGGGACUGCCGGUGUCAAACCGGAGGAAGGUGGGAUGACGUCAAGUCCUCAUGGCCUUUAUGUCUAGGGCUACACACGUACUACAAUGGCAGGUACAAAGGGCAGCGACACAGCGAUGUGAUGCGAAUCCCGAAAAGCCUGUCUCAGUCCGGAUCGGAGUCUGCAACUCGACUCCGUGAAGUUGGAAUCGCUAGUAAUCGUGGAUCAGCAUGCCACGGUGAAUACGUUCCCGGGCCUU